Molecule: ribosomal RNA, 498 nt
Filed under: uncultured bacterium
Lineage: Bacteria
Description: partial 16S ribosomal RNA
Rfam family: Bacterial small subunit ribosomal RNA
Source: RNAcentral
GUUGAACGCUGGCGGCAUGCCUUACACAUGCAAGUCGAACGGUAACAGGUCUUCGGAUGCUGACGAGUGGCGAACGGGUGAGUAAUACAUCGGAACAUGCCUAGUAGUGGGGGAUAACUACUCGAAAGAGUGGCUAAUACCGCAUGAGAUCUACGGAUGAAAGCAGGGGAUCGCAAGACCUUGUGCUACUAGAGCGGCCGAUGGCAGAUUAGGUAGUUGGUGGGAUAAAAGCUUACCAAGCCGACGAUCUGUAGCUGGUCUGAGAGGACGAUCAGCCACACGUGGACUGAGACACGGCCCAGACUCCUACGGGAGGCAGCAGUGGGGAAUUUUGGACAAUGGGCGCAAGCCUGAUUCAGCAAUGCCGCGUGCAGGAUGAAGGCCUUCGGGUUGUAAACUGCUUUUGUACGGAACGAAAAGCCCUGGGUUAAUACCUGGGGCUCAUGACGGUACCGUAAGAAUAAGCACCGGCUAACUACGUGCCAGCCGCCGCCGUAA